Molecule: unclassified non-coding RNA, 283 nt
Organism: Ochotona princeps (American pika)
Lineage: Eukaryota; Metazoa; Chordata; Mammalia; Lagomorpha; Ochotonidae
Gene: 7SK
Rfam family: 7SK RNA
About the family: 7SK was discovered as an abundant small nuclear RNA in the mid-70s but a possible function has only recently been suggested. Two independent studies have found that 7SK RNA binds the CDK9/cyclin T complex (known as elongation factor P-TEFb).
Source: Ensembl
GGAUGUGAGGGUGAUCUGGUUGAAGCAUCUGCCACCCUAUUGAUUGCCAGGGUUGAUUCAGCUGAUCUGGCUGGCUAAGGUGGAUGUCCCCUUCCUCCCCGACCAUUCUAUGUGUGUCCCUCCCGCAGUUGGAGCUCAAAGAGGGUGACCAUCCCCACUAGAGGAGCACCAGUCUUUAGUCAAGGAUAUUUGAGUAUCUGUGCUCCCCUGCUAACAAACAAGCUCUCUAGAUUAUUUUAUUAUUACUUCAUAAGAUUAGAGUAAGUGAUUUUCAAGGGUUCCU